AAAGUCUGACGGAGCAACGCCGCGUGAACGAAGAAGGUUUUCGGAUCGUAAAGUUCUGUUGUUAGGGAAGAACCGCCGGGAUAACCUCCCGGUCUGACGGUACCUAACGAGAAAGCCCCGGCUAACUACGUGCCAGCAGCCGCGGUAAUACGUAGGGGGCAAGCGUUGUCCGGAAUUAUUGGGCGUAAAGCGCGCGCAGGCGGCUUCUUAAGUCAGGUGUGAAAGCCCACGGCUCAACCGUGGAGGGCCACUUGAAACUGGGAGGCUUGAGUGCAGGAGAGGAGAGCGGAAUUCCACGUGUAGCGGUGAAAUGCGUAGAGAUGUGGAGGAACACCUGUGGCGAAGGCGGCUCUCUGGCCUGUAACUGACGCUGAGGCGCGAAAGCGUGGGGAGCGAACAGGAUUAGAUACCCUGGUAGUCCACGCCGUAA
RNAcentral lists this ribosomal RNA (430 nucleotides) under Aneurinibacillus danicus. Its description in RNAcentral is "bacterial SSU rRNA". It matches the Rfam family "Bacterial small subunit ribosomal RNA", at positions 378 to 805 of the family's 1533-position model. The record is from RNAcentral. Lineage: Bacteria; Bacillati; Bacillota; Bacilli; Caryophanales; Paenibacillaceae.